GAUGCAAAUGAUUCAUUUGCAUAUUCACAAUCUCAUUUAUUUGCCGGGAUCAGCCAGGUGACCCAAAAACCGGGAAUUUUCCUCCCCAAUUCACAGAAUUCUGAUCCCAUAUUUGGGGAUUUUGGGGCCUCCUUGGUGGCGUCGGAAUUCCCGGAAUUCCCGGAAUUCCCAGAAUUCCCGGAAUUCCGAUCCCGGCCCGGCGCCCUCUGGGAUUCCUUUCCUUCCCGGCACGGGAAAAUCCCGCAGCGCUUUUGGGAUCUGGGAUUUUGGGAUUUCCGCUCAAAUUCCUUGGAAUUCCCGAGGGUUUUGGUCCUUCCUUGGGUUGUUUGGAUCCCCAAAUCCUGCUGGGAAUUCCCUGUCCCCUCACCCGUUACUCACUUGUUACUCACCUGUUCCUCACUCGUUACUCACCCGUUCCUCACCCGUUCCUCGCCCAUUACUCACCUGUUCCUCACUCGUUCCUCGCCCGUUACUCACCCCUUACUCACUUGUUCCUCACCCAUUCCUCACCCGUUCCUCACUUGUUCCUCACCCGUUCCUCACCCGUUACUCACCCGUUCCUCACCCAUUCCUCACCCGUUUCUCACCCCUUACUCACCCGUUACUCGCCCAUCCCUCACCCGUUCCUCACUCGUUCCUCACCCGUUACGCACCCGUUACUCACCCGUUCCUCACCCGUUACUGACCCCUUACUCACCCCUUACUCACUUGUUCCUCACCCGUUCCUCACCCGUUACUCACUUGUUCUUCACCCGUUCGUCACCCAUUCCUCGCCUGUUCCUCACUCGUUCCUUGCCCGUUCCUCACCCAUUACUCACCUGCUCCUCACCCGUUCCUCACCCCUUACUCACCCCUUACCCCUUACUCACCCAUUACUCACCCCUUACUCACCCGUUACUCGCCCGUUCCUUGCCCGUUCCUCACCCGUUCCUCACCCGUUCCUCACCCGUUACUCACCCGUUCCUCACCCAUUCCUCACCCCUUACUCACCCGUUACUGACCCCUUACUCACCCCUUACUCACCCCUUACUCACCCGUUCCUCACCCCUUACUCACCCCUUACUCACCCCUUCCCCAGGUGUGGCCAUGGAGGGGCUGCGGGGCCGGGACCCCCCCUGUGCCCGGAACAUUCCAGCCCUGUCCGAGGAGGAGGAGGAGGAGCCAGGUGAGGAGGAGCCAGGUGAGGAGGAGGAGCCAGGUGAGGAGGAGGAGCCAGGUGAGGAAGAACAAGCUGAGGAAGAUCCAGGUGAGGAAGAAGCAGGUGAAGAUGAAGAAGACCCAGGUGAUGAAGACCCAGGUGAUGAAGACCCAGGUGAUGAAGACCCCGGCGAGGAUGAAGACGCAGCCCAGGAAGACCCACCUGGAUCCCUCCAGGUUCUCCCCGCUCCUCGCCGGCCCCGCCUUUACCUGCGGCCCCGCCCGGCGCCAGAUGAGCCGGGCCCCUCCCACCUGAGCCCCUGGGACCAGGUGAGCUCCCACCCCUCACCCGAAGCGGGCGGGGCCUUCGUCCACCUCAUCGACGAGCGCGGCGUCUACUCC
RNAcentral lists this long non-coding RNA (1539 nucleotides) under Cyanistes caeruleus (blue tit). RNAcentral's name for it is "lncRNA (ENSCCEG00000022708.1)". Lineage: Eukaryota; Metazoa; Chordata; Aves; Passeriformes; Paridae. The record is from RNAcentral.